UGGGGAAUAUUGCACAAUGGGCGAAAGCCUGAUGCAGCAACGCCGCGUGAGUGAUGAAGGCCUUCGGGUUGUAAAGCUCUGUCUUCUGGGACGAUAAUGACGGUACCCGAGGCGGAAGCCACGGCUAACUACGUGCCAGCAGCUGCGGUAAUACGUAGGUGGCAAGCGUUGUCCGGAUUUACUGGGCGUAAAGGAUGCGUAGGCGGAUACUUAAGUCAGAUGUGAAAAUCCCGGGCUUAACUUGGGAACUGCAUUUGAAACUGGGUAUCGAGAGUGCGGGAGAGGAAAGUGGAAUUCCUAGUGUAGCGGUGAAAUGCGUAGAGAUUAGGAAGAACACCAGUGGCGAAGGCGACUUUCUGGACCGUAACUGACGCUGAGGCAUGAAAGCGUGGGGAGCAAACA
RNAcentral lists this ribosomal RNA (402 nucleotides) under uncultured bacterium. Its description in RNAcentral is "bacterial SSU rRNA". It matches the Rfam family "Bacterial small subunit ribosomal RNA", at positions 355 to 774 of the family's 1533-position model. The record is from RNAcentral.